RNAcentral lists this ribosomal RNA (250 nucleotides) under uncultured bacterium. Its description in RNAcentral is "partial 16S ribosomal RNA". It matches the Rfam family "Bacterial small subunit ribosomal RNA", at positions 332 to 585 of the family's 1533-position model. The record is from RNAcentral.
UACAGCCUACGGGACGCAGCAGUGGGGAAUAUUGCACAAUGGGGGAAACCCUGAUGCAGCGACGCCGCGUGAGUGAGGAAGUAUCUCGGUACGUAAAGCUCUAUCAGCAGGGAAGAAAAAAAGUCUUUGGCUUUGGACGGUACCUGACUAAGAAGCCCCGGCUAACUACGUGCCAGCAGCCGCGGUAAUACGUAGGGGGCAAGCGUUAUCCGGAUUUACUGGGUGUAAAGGGAGCGUAGACGGCAGCGCA